CUCUAGCUGAAAGAAGCUAUAAAGGAUAGAAUGGUCUCCAGGUGACCCCCUUCACUGUGACCAAGGUAAUUCAACUGUAUGAGACCAAAACCUCCCGACACUCCUCGAUGAUCGUGGAGAAGACGGGCAGCGGCAAGACGGUCACAUGGAGAACCCUUCAAAACGCCCUUAGCACCCUGCACCGCAACGGAGAACCGGGAUUCAACCUCAUACAAGAGUGUCCCCUAAACCCCAAGGCAGUGAGCCUGUGAGAGCUGUAUGGAGAAUAUAACCUCUCCACCAAUGAGUGCACAGAUGGUGUCCUCUCUUCGCUCAUGAUGGUGCCCUGCGCAGGUGAGCCCAGCAGACUCUGUAA
Cyprinus carpio carpio is the source of this 355-nucleotide long non-coding RNA. The record is from Ensembl. NCBI's taxonomy places the organism in Eukaryota, Metazoa, Chordata, Actinopteri, Cypriniformes, Cyprinidae.